UACAGAGGUCUCAAGCGUUGUUCGGAUUCAUUGGGCGUAAAGGGUGCGUAGGUGGCGCUGUAAGUCGGGUGUGAAAUUUCGGAGCUUAACUCCGAAACUGCAUUCGAUACUGCGGUGCUUGAGGACUGGAGAGGAGACUGGAAUUCAUGGUGUAGCAGUGAAAUGCGUAGAGAUCAUGGGGAAGACCAGUGGCGAAGGCGGGUCUCUGGACAGUUCCUGACACUGAGGCACGAAGGCCAGGGGAGCAAACGGG
This 253-nucleotide ribosomal RNA is filed under the name uncultured bacterium. RNAcentral's name for it is "partial 16S ribosomal RNA". It matches the Rfam family "Bacterial small subunit ribosomal RNA", at positions 524 to 776 of the family's 1533-position model. The record is from RNAcentral.